AUUGAACGCUGGCGGCAGGCCUAACACCUGCAAGUCGAGCGAGUGGCGGACGGGUGAGUAAUGUCUGGGGAACUGCCUGAUGGAGGGGGAUAACUACUGGAAACGGUAGCUAAUACCGCAUACCAUCAGAUGUACCCAUAUGGGAUUAGCUUGUAGGUGGGGUAACGGCUCACCUCGGCGACGAUCCCUAGCUGGUCUGAGAGGAUGAUCAGCCACACUGGGACUGAGACACGGCCCAGACUCCUACGGGAGGCAGCAGUGGGGAAUAUUGCACAAUGGGCGCAAGCCUGAUGCAGCCAUGCCGCGUGUAUGAAGAAGGCCUUCGGGGUGUAAAGUACUUUCAGUCGGGAGGCGUUACCGCCAGAAGAAGCACCGGCUAACUCCGUGCCAGCAGCCGCGGUAAUUC
Molecule: ribosomal RNA, 406 nt
Filed under: uncultured bacterium
Lineage: Bacteria
Description: partial 16S ribosomal RNA
Rfam family: Bacterial small subunit ribosomal RNA
Source: RNAcentral